This 573-nucleotide ribosomal RNA is filed under the name Penicillium sp. T001-F1-3. RNAcentral describes it as "eukaryotic LSU rRNA". The stretch from base 202 to 355 matches the Rfam family "5.8S ribosomal RNA". The record is from RNAcentral. Lineage: Eukaryota; Fungi; Ascomycota; Eurotiomycetes; Eurotiales; Aspergillaceae.
AGGUGAACCUGCGGAAGGAUCAUUAAUGAGAGAGGGCCCCCCGGGGUCCAACCUCCCACCCGUGUUUAAUUGUACCUUGUUGCUUCGGCAGGCCCGCCUCACGGCCGCCGGGGGGCUUCUGCCCCCGGGCCCGCGCCUGCCGGAGACAAUCUUGAACUCUGUCUGAAGAAUGCAGUCUGAGCGAUAAGCAAAAUUAGUUAAAACUUUCAACAACGGAUCUCUUGGUUCCGGCAUCGAUGAAGAACGCAGCGAAAUGCGAUAAUUAAUGUGAAUUGCAGAAUUCAGUGAAUCAUCGAGUCUUUGAACGCACAUUGCGCCCCCUGGUAUUCCGGGGGGCAUGCCUGUCCGAGCGUCAUUGCUGCCCUCAAGCCCGGCUUGUGUGUUGGGCCCUGCUCCCCCGGGGGCAGGCCCGAAAGGCAGUGGCGGCACCGCGUCCGGUCCUCGAGCGUAUGGGGCUUUGUCACCCGCUCUGUAGGCCCGGCCGGCGCUUGCCGACCCCCAUCAAUCUAUUUUCAAGUUGACCUCGGAUCAGGUAGGGAUACCCGCUGAACUUAAGCAUAUCAAUAAGCGGAG